ACGGGAGGCAGCAGUGGGGAAUAUUGGGCAAUGGGCGCAAGCCUGACCCAGCAACGCCGCGUGAAGGAUGCAGGUCUUCGGAUUGUAAACUUCUUUGAUCAGGGACGAAUGAUGACGGUACCUGAAGAACGAGUCACGGCUAACUACGUGCCAGCAGCCGCGGUAAUACGUAGGUGACAAGCGUUAUCCGGAUUUACUGGGUGUAAAGGGCGUGUAGGCGGUUUGGCAAGUCAGAAGUGAAAUUCCCGGGCUUAACUUGGGCGCUGCUUCUGAAACUGCUUAACUUGAGUACUGGAGAGGAUAGUGGAAUUCCUAGUGUAGCGGUAAAAUGCACAGAUAUUAGGAGGAACACCGGUGGCGAAGGCGGCUAUCUGGACAGUAACUGACGCUGAGGCGCGAAAGCACGGGGAGCAAACAGGAUUAGAUACCCUGGUA
This 435-nucleotide ribosomal RNA is filed under the name uncultured Saccharofermentans sp. RNAcentral describes it as "partial 16S ribosomal RNA". It matches the Rfam family "Bacterial small subunit ribosomal RNA", at positions 341 to 792 of the family's 1533-position model. Lineage: Bacteria; Bacillati; Bacillota; Clostridia; Eubacteriales; Oscillospiraceae. The record is from RNAcentral.